UGAAUACGAGACACUAAGGUGUCGAAGUGGAUGAUGUCACACUUCCAAGAAAAUUUCACAGAAUUUUAUAUAGCAAAGUACCUGUACUGUAAACCGACACAGGUAGGUUGGUAGAGUAUACCAAGGGGCGCGAGAUAACUCUCUCUAAGGAACUCGGCAAAAUAACCUCGUAACUUCGGGAGAAGAGGUGCCCUUGUAAGAGGGUUUCAAUAACCAGACCCUGGCGACUGUUUACCAAAAACACAGGUCUCCGCCAAUUCGUAAGAUUAAGUAUGGAGGCUGACGCCUGCCCAGUGCCGGAAGGUUAAAGAAGUUGGUCAAUUCUUGAAUGCAGCUAGCGACUGAAGCCUCGGUGAACGGCGGCCGUAACAAUAACGGUCCUAAGGUAGCGAAGUUCCUUGUCGGGUAAGUUCCGACCCGCACGAAAGGCGUAACGAUCAGGGUGCUGUCUCGGAGAGAGGCUCGGCGAAAUAGACAUGUCUGUGAAGAUGCGGACUACCUGCACCUGGACAGAAAGACCCUAUGAAGCUUCUACUGUAUCCUGGAAUUGAGUUUGGGUUUUGCUUGCGCAGCAUAGGUGGGAGGCAUUGAAAGUGUCCUUGCGGGGUCACUCGAGCCAACGGUGAGAUACCACUCUAGUAAAGCUAAAACUCUAACCGUUAUCCGUCAUCCGGUUACGGAACCGUUUCAGGUGGGCAGUUUGACUGGGGCGGUCGCCUCCUAAAAAGUAACGGAGGCGUGCAAGGUUCCCUCAGGCUGGUUGGUUAUCAGUCAUAGAGUAUAAAGGCAUAAGGGAGCUUGACUGCGAGACUUACAAGUCAAGCAGAGACGAAAGUCGGCCUUAGUGAUCCGACGGUUCUGUGUGGAAAGGCCGUCGCUCAACGGAUAAAAGUUACUCUAAGGAUAACAGGCUGAUCUCCCCCAAGAGUCCACAUCGACGGGGAGGUUUGGCACCUCGAUGUCGGCUCAUCGCAUCCUGGGGCGGUAGUACGUCCCAAGGGUUGGGCUGUUCGCCCAUGAAAGCGGUACGCGAGCUGGGUUCAGAACGUCGUGAGACAGUUCGGUCCAUAUCCGGUGCAGGCGUUAGAGCAUUGAAAGGAGUCCUCCUUAGUACGAGAGGACCGGGAGGAAUACACCUCUGGUGUGCCAGUUGUUGUGCCAACAGUAAACGCUGGGUAGCCAUGUGUAGCGUGGAUAACUGCUGAAAGCAUCUAAGUAGGAAGCCCACCUUAAGAUGAGUGCUCUCACCGUUAUAAAACGGGUAAGAUCACGGUAAGACUAACCGUUACAUAGGCACUAAGUGUACGCACAGUAAUGUGUUUAGCUGAGGUGUACUAAUAGAUCGAGGGC
RNAcentral lists this ribosomal RNA (1350 nucleotides) under metagenome. RNAcentral's name for it is "bacterial LSU rRNA". It matches the Rfam family "Bacterial large subunit ribosomal RNA", at positions 1564 to 2925 of the family's 2925-position model. The record is from RNAcentral.